This 71-nucleotide transfer RNA is filed under the name Nitrososphaerota archaeon. Its description in RNAcentral is "Thaumarchaeota archaeon tRNA-His". It matches the Rfam family "tRNA". From Rfam's summary of the family: Transfer RNA (tRNA) molecules are approximately 80 nucleotides in length. Their secondary structure includes four short double-helical elements and three loops (D, anti-codon, and T loops). The record is from RNAcentral. RNAcentral also lists the same sequence under 2 other names. Lineage: Archaea; Thermoproteati; Nitrososphaerota.
GCCUCCGUAGUAUAGCGGCAGUAUAGGGGACUGUGGAUCCCUUGGCCGGGGUUCGAUUCCCCGCGGAGGCC